This 490-nucleotide ribosomal RNA is filed under the name uncultured bacterium. RNAcentral describes it as "partial 16S ribosomal RNA". It matches the Rfam family "Bacterial small subunit ribosomal RNA", at positions 30 to 507 of the family's 1533-position model. The record is from RNAcentral.
AUUGAACGCUGGCGGCAUGCCUUACACAUGCAAGUCGAACGGCAGCAUGAUCUAGCUUGCUAGAUUGAUGGCGAGUGGCGAACGGGUGAGUAAUACAUCGGAACGUGCCCUGUAGUGGGGGAUAACUAGUCGAAAGAUUAGCUAAUACCGCAUACGACCUGAGGGUGAAAGUGGGGGACCGCAAGGCCUCAUGCUAUAGGAUCGGCCGAUGUCUGAUUAGCUAGUUGGUGAGGUAAAGGCUCACCAAGGCGACGAUCAGUAGCUGGUCUGAGAGGACGAUCAGCCACACUGGGACUGAGACACGGCCCAGACUCCUACGGGAGGCAGCAGUGGGGAAUUUUGGACAAUGGGCGAAAGCCUGAUCCAGCAAUGCCGCGUGUGUGAAGAAGGCCUUCGGGUUGUAAAGCACUUUUGUCCGGAAAGAAAUGGCUCUGGUUAAUACCUGGGGUCGAUGACGGUACCGGAAGAAUAAGGACCGGCUAACUACGUG